AAGGCUAUGUGUAACUGGCGAAGCGCGGAGAACCGUGAGGGAGCACAUAGUGUCGACAGCCGUUCGCCUGGGCAGAGGUA
This 80-nucleotide non-coding RNA is filed under the name Bacillus sp. (in: firmicutes). RNAcentral describes it as "Bacillus sp. ZTP sequence". It matches the Rfam family "ZMP/ZTP riboswitch aptamer (pfl RNA motif)". From Rfam's summary of the family: Previously known as pfl RNA. ZMP is also known as AICAR. RNAcentral also lists the same sequence under 1 other name. The record is from RNAcentral. Lineage: Bacteria; Bacillati; Bacillota; Bacilli; Caryophanales; Bacillaceae.